CUGGGACUGGCCAGCUGCUCAAAAAGUUAUACUACUCCUUAAGUACGGCCUAAUGAGAAUUGGUGAAUAAGAGGCAGUCUUUGGAUCUGCAGUUGUCGUGUCGGGGAUAUCCAUCACCACCGAAGAGGAAGGCAUACCAAUCAGAAGAGCUUCACUCUCAACUCUCCCUAAGGUACCUUGGUUUCUGCUAUGAUAUUGAAGAACAAAUCAAGG
This 213-nucleotide long non-coding RNA is filed under the name Sus scrofa (pig). RNAcentral describes it as "lncRNA (ENSSSCG00070013221.1)". Lineage: Eukaryota; Metazoa; Chordata; Mammalia; Artiodactyla; Suidae. The record is from RNAcentral.